This is a long non-coding RNA of Pectinophora gossypiella (pink bollworm), 4493 nucleotides long. RefSeq lists it as uncharacterized. NCBI's taxonomy places the organism in Eukaryota, Metazoa, Arthropoda, Insecta, Lepidoptera, Gelechiidae. The record is from RefSeq and is a predicted model, not a curated record. The transcript has 2 exons.
CCACCACGCUGCUCCAAUGCGGGUUGGUGGAGGUGUUUUACAGCUAAUAGCCGGGACCAACAACAACAAUAAACAAUAAAUACAUUUUAUUAUUAAAAUUAGUACUUGCGAAUCAAAUAGACACAUUGCUAUCCAAGUACCCCGGUAGAAUUGCUUCUCCAACUCCCUUAAGACGACUCUUGCCCCCUACGACUCUUUUUCCCCCCUAGACAACUCUUUCCCCCUAUAUGACCCCCCCCCCCAACAACUCAUUCCCCCAAGUCGACUCUUGCUCCACCUACUCCCCCUAGACGACUCUUGCUCCCAAAAACUGGGUAGGUACGUCCAUGAAACUCGCUAGUAAUAAAGUUUUGAAUCCUUUGAAGCGAGGUGAUUACUUGCUCUAAAAAAAAUUGCUGUUUAAAUAGUUGUCUCACGUACCUGAGCCGCGCGAUCUCCCUCAUAAUCUCUCUGUUCUUGGCUUCUAGUUGAGAGAUAAGCUCGCGCUGUUGCCGCGCCGCGUCCACCUCAGACCCCUCCACUGACGACCGACCCUGGACACCCCAAUAUGUUACACAAUUAAUAAAAUAUCAUCAUCAUCAUCAGCCCAUUAACAUCCCCACUGCUGGGGCACGGGCCUUCCCUAUGGAUGGAUAGGGAGAUCGGACCUUAAACCAUCACGCGGGCCCAGUGCGGAUUGAUGGUUAUUAACGACUGCUAAUGCAGCCGGGACCAACGGCUUAACGUGCCUUCCAAAGCACGGAGGAGCUCGAGAUGAAACUUUUUUUGUGGUCACCCAUCCUGUGACCGGCCUUUGCGAAAGUUGCUUAACUUCAACAAUCGCAGCCCGAGCGCGUUAAUAAAAUAUACAUACAUAUAUAAACUCACGACUAUAUGGUCAGAGGUACAUCAUCGCAAGGUGAAUUAAGUAACCACGCCUUACCAAACUCUAUGUUAGACCAACGUGAUAGGUGGUGAGCCGUAUCGCCGUCUAUAAUGGUCGAGCCAACUGUGUUAGUGAAAACUGCACUUAAGGUAAAUUAAUAACUCAUUGGUGCAUGUCCGUUAACGGGGUUCGAACCGACGCUCCCCAUUGGAGAAGCAAACCGAUGUACAGGACCACAGUGACUAUCCAUAUAAUAAAUAUAUACUACUGACUACUCAUAUAAAGAAAGAGAAAGGGAAAGAGAGGAAGGGGAAGACCAAGAAGAGCUUACAUGGAACAGAUUAAAGAAAAGGUUAACGUCGUGUCUUAUAGGGAAGUCAAGGAAUUGUCCUUUGAUAUACUGGAAUGGAAAAUGCUACACCGACAAGAGCGUGGCUCUUAAAUUGAUGAUGAUGACUCAUAUAUAAAUAUAAAAAAUAUGAUUAUCAUUAUAAGGUUUUGAUUUAUAGAGUAUGUAUAGAUAAAAUAUAAUUUACCAAUUCCGGAGUUAGUGACGCUGAUCUGCCGGCUCGGGGCUGUAACAAAAUAAAAAUCAUCUCACAUGACAUUAGAAAUAGAGUCUAAAAGGAUAAAAAUCUAACAACUGUUACUAUAUAAUUCCAUAACAAUACUUUGUUUAUUAUGAGGAUAUAUAUAUAUACGGAUAGAUGUAUAUAUUAAGAGGAAAUGACUGGAACCCAGCGCUAGAUGGCGUCAUAGCAUGGCUCUAUCACAUCACAAGCUGAGCCAUUUCCUUUAAUGUGUAAUCCUCCUAAUAAUGUGUAAUUUAUUGUACACAUACAUACAUAAACUCACGCCUAUUUCCCAUCGGAGUAAGCAGAGACUAUGGAAUUCCAUUUGCUUCGAUCCUGACAUACUGCUCUUGCUUCCUCCACAUUAAUCAAUCGUUUCACACACGCACGCCGGUUCAGAGAAGAUCGUACUGAACCUUUUCUAAGGACAUCUUCAAUUUGGUCAAUAUACAAUCAAAUAGCAAAAGUGCAGUCAGUGAGCCCAGCGAAUUAUUUGUAAACAGUGGUGAAGUUAUAAAUUAUUACUUGUCAUAAUUAUGAAAUUUAUGUUUUUGUAGUUGUUUUUGGUCUAUUACAGAAACGACAUGUAACCAGGAAGUCUUAAGUGCAACCAAUUAAUUUAUUACUUUGCAAAAAACUGAUUGAACUUUUGCACCUCAUCGUACGGUCACGAGUACUAAUAUGUAUACAUUUUGAAACCAUGUCACAUUAACUUUUUCGACAAAUUAAACCGUAAGUCUCGUUACAUGUCAAAUAUGAUAGUGCGACAGGGUUCUAAAGUGGGUACAUGAUAUUGCUCAUGACUGUACAUCCUUAUAAUUUGUUUGUUAUUGUACACAGAAACAAUAUGACUUUAAGUGUAAAUACGAUACUGAACUUACCAUCGUACGGUUCUCCUGUGCCAGUCUCGCCGCGUACCUCGCUAUCAGCCGAUGUUCGUCGUCUACCCCGCGCGAUAGGUGUUCGACUAUACCUGAUAUGGACAACUCAUUUAGGAGGAUUUUAUACAUUUGACGUUAUAGCGUGGUGCAUAGAACAAGUGCGAUAGUGUCAAUACCAGAAAUCAGUUCCUAUAGACGCAGACACGUCUUCUCCGACCAAGUAGUUAAUGCCAUUUGGGGCAAAUUUUAAAAAAAGACUAGUCUAAUAUGAUCAAAAAUCAACCUCAUUUUUCUUUGCGUUUACGUAAUUGCAAAGAAAAAUUAGUAAUUUUGUACGACGUUCACACGGUAUUUCUGUACUUUCAUUUAAAAAUUUCGUUCUGACGUUUCGUAAAAAAUGUCUCAUGGGUUGUUAGGACAUUGGCUCCAAGGGUGGGGGCUUAGGUUUCAUUAUACAUCGUCAUCACCUUUCAUCAUUUCAUUAAUCAUCAUCAAGAAAAAAAAAAUACAUAAGACAUGGCUGUAUGGGCAUAGUUCCCUUUGCCUUGCCCUUCGGGGAAAAUCAAAACAAAAAAAAAUCUCUAUGGUCUGGAUUGCUAUGGUUAUUUAAUAUUAUUAUGGUUACUUACUGCGAUGCGUGGACCGUGAGGAGCGUGAGUCGAGAGAGCCUGUAUUGUAUCCCGCCACGUACUCCGGGAACCCGUUAUGGGCCGGCACCGGUGACGGAGGCCUGUUGACGGAGACAUAGACAAUAUUUAUUUAAAAGAAAAACUUUUUGCUCAAUACAUAUUCGAACACGGUCAGACAGGCAGUCGCUUCUGUAAAAAACUGGACCUGUCACAUCUGCAGGUUCAACUAAUUACUAUUUCUAUGUUAAUAAAUAUUGUACACCUGAAAAGGUAAACUAUAGAGAAUGACUAUUAGCACAAGGCCUGCUAUUUGUUUACCUAUGGUUAUACAAUAAAUGCAUUUGAUUUAAUUUCGAUACUCGUAUGAAAUUAGCCCUCUAUGGAUGUGAAAAGUGGACGCUGACUCAGAAAGACAGAGAGAGACUCGAGGCCUUUGAUAUGUGGUGUUGGAGGAGUAUGGAAAGAAUAAGUUGGACAGAAAGAGUUUCUAAUGAGGAAGUGCUAGUAAGAGUAAGGGAAAAGAGGCAAAUAUUGAGAGUUAUUGACGAAGAAGAGGCAAGAUGACUGGACACCUAAUAAGACAUGACGACACAUACAUACAUGAACUCACGCCCGUAAUCCUUAAUGGGGUGGGCAGAGCCACAAGUAAUCAAAGACAACUUGCAGCCACUGUUGAUACGAUGUCGUAAGCUGGAUAUGAUGAACUUUAUGGUGAUAAGGGAUCAGCCUAUCGCCCAUAACAUUAGUCCACAAGACAAAACGAAUGACGAAUAAGACAGACAAAUAAGACAGAAUAAGUAAGACAUGACGAAUUUAUUAAAAAUAUCAUAGAAUUGAAGCUAUAAGGAAAGAGAGGAAGGGGAAGACCGAGAAGAGCUUACAUGGAACAGAUUAAAGAGAAACCGGUGAAGGAAUUGGUCUUUCAUAGAAAAGAAUGGGAAUGCUACACCGACACGAUGGUGGCUCUUAAAUUAGUGAUGACCGACAGGUGGGGAUGAUUCUUGGCCUGAAUCAUCCCUGAAAGUUUUCGUUACGAUGUGACUAACGCCCUGUAUAUGACAAUAACUUGCGAGCGACACGUAUGACAGUCGUAUCAAAGUCGAGCGCUGUAUGUACUUCAAUGAGGUGAUUUGUACACGUACACGAUGUGGGACAGGUUGAGCGUCCGCUCGGGCUGGUCGGGGUACCGCGGCAGUGGCGCGCGGGCCCGCUCCGGCACGCACCGGAACGACUUGCGCAGCGUCGCGCCGAUCUGCUUCGACGGGGACUUCUGCAAACAUAUACCACAUUCACAUUAUCUAUAUAUAAAUAAAAAUGAAUUGCUGUUCGUUAGUCUCGCUAAAACUCGGGAACGGCUGAACCGAUUCGGCUAAUUUUAGUCUUGAAAUAUUCGUGGAAGUCCAGGGCAGGUUUAAACGGUGAUAAAAUAUGGAAAAGGGUGAUACGAAGUUCACCGGGUCAUCUAGUGUGUAAUAUUUGCUUUUUUCCCCUACUGUGUUUGUAUUGUUACUGUGGUGUCCUCUAAUAAUAAAUACUUUUUUUCUUU